Molecule: non-coding RNA, 144 nt
Organism: Populus trichocarpa (black cottonwood)
Lineage: Eukaryota; Viridiplantae; Streptophyta; Magnoliopsida; Malpighiales; Salicaceae
Source: Rfam
UAAUCCGUGUAAUCUGACAAAUCCUUAUGUAGCUAUAACAGAUUCACAUGUAACUGCUCAUAAUAAUCAUUAUUGCAAGUACGACUAUAUUAUUUUACUUUGAUGAAUUAAGACCUUGCAUUGUGAUGGAUGGUCCUAUUGAUU